RNAcentral lists this ribosomal RNA (156 nucleotides) under uncultured Roseobacter sp. RNAcentral describes it as "partial 16S ribosomal RNA". It matches the Rfam family "Bacterial small subunit ribosomal RNA", at positions 356 to 529 of the family's 1533-position model. Lineage: Bacteria; Pseudomonadati; Pseudomonadota; Alphaproteobacteria; Rhodobacterales; Roseobacteraceae. The record is from RNAcentral.
UGGGAAUCUUAGACAAUGGGGGCAACCCUGAUCUAGCCAUGCCGCGUGAGUGAUGAAGGCCUUAGGGUCGUAAAGCUCUUUCGCCUGUGAUGAUAAUGACAGUAGCAGGUAAAGAAACCCCGGCUAACUCCGUGCCAGCAGCCGCGGUAAUAUGCC